Molecule: ribosomal RNA, 253 nt
Filed under: uncultured bacterium
Lineage: Bacteria
Description: partial 16S ribosomal RNA
Rfam family: Bacterial small subunit ribosomal RNA
Source: RNAcentral
GACGUAAGAGGCGAGCGUUGUCCGGAUUCAUUGGGCGUAAAGAGCGCGCAGGCGGCUUGGUAAGUCGGAUGUGAAAUCCCGAGGCUCAACCUCGGGUCUGCAUCCGAUACUGCCCGGCUAGAGGUAGGUAGGGGAGAUCGGAAUUCCUGGUGUAGCGGUGAAAUGCGCAGAUAUCAGGAGGAACACCGGUGGCGAAGGCGGAUCUCUGGGCCUUACCUGACGCUCAGGCGCGAAAGCUAGGGGAGCGAACUGG